GACGUAGGAUGCAAGCGUUGUCCGGAUUUAUUGGGCGUAAAGAGUUCGUAGGCGGUUCGUUAAGUCUGAUGUUAAAGACUGGGGCUCAACCCUGGGAGUGCAUUGGAUACUGGCGGACUGGAGUGCAGUAGAGGCAAGCGGAAUUCCAGGUGUAGCGGUGAAAUGCGUAGAUAUCUGGAAGAACACCGGUGGCGCAAGCGGCUUGCUGGGCUGUAACUGACGCUGAGGAACGAAAGCUAGGGUAGCGAAUGGG
Molecule: ribosomal RNA, 253 nt
Filed under: uncultured bacterium
Lineage: Bacteria
Description: partial 16S ribosomal RNA
Rfam family: Bacterial small subunit ribosomal RNA
Source: RNAcentral